UUUCAGGCCCUUUUUAGGGCCACAUGUACAGUGGUAAAAGAUUGU
Molecule: non-coding RNA, 45 nt
Organism: Camelus ferus (Wild Bactrian camel)
Lineage: Eukaryota; Metazoa; Chordata; Mammalia; Artiodactyla; Camelidae
Source: Rfam